Lycium ferocissimum is the source of this 308-nucleotide long non-coding RNA. RefSeq lists it as uncharacterized. The transcript is spliced from 3 exons. NCBI's taxonomy places the organism in Eukaryota, Viridiplantae, Streptophyta, Magnoliopsida, Solanales, Solanaceae. The record is from RefSeq and is a predicted model, not a curated record.
AGCGAAGAAGAAGUACAACUCUCCACCUACAAGGAAUGUAUACGAAGAGCGAAUGAACUGGUUGAAGGGCUCCACAGUUAUGCCAUACAGUAUUGCCCAAUAAGUCAAGAAGAGAGUAAAACUGACAUGAAAAAUCAUAUCCUUUCGUGCGUCCAAGUAUUCGAUUCAAUUCCUCAAGUUCCUGAUGCUUAUAAGGAAGAAGCAGAUCGUUAUCUACUGGAAACUAUUGAAUUGAAGCCGAGUCUACUGAAUGCUUGGAAACACAUCGCCAAUUACGUUGUUGACGGAGGAGAUUACCGUAGAGCUGA